RNA transcript from Oryza brachyantha (malo sina), 1316 nucleotides. It is a transcript of the gene named chloroplastic group IIB intron splicing facilitator CRS2, chloroplastic, with no coding region annotated. Lineage: Eukaryota; Viridiplantae; Streptophyta; Magnoliopsida; Poales; Poaceae. The transcript has 11 exons. The record is from RefSeq and is a predicted model, not a curated record.
UCUCUUCGUCCUCUCGCCCUAUUGAUUCGCCCCCCCUCUCCCCGGUCGCCCGCCAAUCCGCCAUGUCGCUCGCCGUGGCCACUCCCGCCUCCGCCCGCCUCUCCCCGCCCACCGUCUCCUCCCCCGACCCCAGCCGCCGCCGCCUCCUGCUCUCCGCAGCCGCCCCUCUCCGGCGCACCCGUCUCCGCCGCGGCCGCCUCGCCGUCGUCGCCUCCGUCCCCGACCCCGCCGCGCGGCCGGCGGAGUACACGCCCUGGCUCAUCGCCGGCCUCGGCAACCCCGGGAACAAGUACCACGGCACGCGUCACAAUGUGGGGUUUGAGAUGGUCGAUCGCAUCGCGCGGGAGGAGGGAAUCACUAUGAACACGAUCCAGUCCAAGUCGCUGCUCGGAGUAGGUUCAAUUGGGGAGGUGCCAGUCUUAUUGGUAAAGCCACAGUCAUAUAUUAACUACAGUGGGGAAGCAAUUGCACCGCUUGCUGCCUACUACGAAGUACCAUUGCGGCACAUCCUUGUGAUUUAUGACGAGAUGAGUCUGCCCAAUGGUGUAUUGCGUCUUCAACGGAAAGGUGGUCAUGGUCGCCAUAAUGGCCUGCAGAAUGUAAUGGAGAAUUUGGAUGGUUCCCGCGAACUUCCUCGCUUAUCUAUAGGUAUUGGCAGCCCACCUGGCAAAAUGGACACACGAGCAUUUCUUCUGCAGAAGUUCAGUUCAGAGGAACGGUUGCAGAUUGACACUGCUUUGGAGCAAGGGGUGGAUGCUGUGAGGACUCUUGUGCUGAAGGGUUUUAGUGGAAGCAUCGAAAGAUUCAAUCUGGUUCAGAAGUACAAGUUCCACAGUGUUUGAGAAUCAUUAAGAUGCUUGGAGUUGGAGCUACUUGCUGAGGACACAUGAACACACAUCAAAUUACUGGAAGUGUUGGAUGUGGUACUUGGCAUAAUCCACUGGAUCAUCUGCCUGCAAAGUGUUCAUAUAGGAUGGCGAUGGAGUACAACGACAAGAAAACCCACCGCAUCAGCUGAGUUUUUAAGAGACAUAAUAUUGAUUCCAGUGAUGGGACUCAAAGGCGAUUGAUUCUUUGCUGAGGUCAUCCAUCAUCAUGAUAGGAAAGGUGGCCCACACAAGAGAACAAAAACGAGCACGUACGUACGUACGUACGUAUACAUUCCCGAUCGUACGUACUAUUUCCAUAUACAUGUAUAUUACUUUCUGCAUGGAGAAUUUUAUAUAAUGCAUAUAUAGUCCAACUCCCACACGCAUGAGCUGAGCUCUGCAACUUUAGUUUGUACUGUACACACGCAGAUCGAAUAAUUUAAUCAA